GGACGACAAUAGCACACCCGGAGCAAUCCGGGGCCGCAAAGCGAUGGGUCCGCCGCGGCGGAUCGCCAAGCUACCGAA
RNAcentral lists this non-coding RNA (78 nucleotides) under Elusimicrobiota bacterium. RNAcentral's name for it is "Elusimicrobia bacterium c-di-GMP sequence". It matches the Rfam family "c-di-GMP-I riboswitch aptamer". From Rfam's summary of the family: GEMM was predicted in a large-scale screen for bacterial structured RNA regulatory elements. Genes associated with GEMM are involved in a diverse array of functions, including chemotaxis regulation, signal transduction, secretion and chitin. The record is from RNAcentral. Lineage: Bacteria; Pseudomonadati; Elusimicrobiota.